UUUCCUACGGGAGGCAGCAGUGGGGGAUAUGGCACAAUGGGGGAAACCCUGAUGCAGCGACGCCGCGUGUGGGAAGACGGUCCUCUGGAUUGUAAACCACUGUCCCCAGGGACGAAGAUGACGGUACCUGAGUAAGAAGCACCGGCUAAAUACGUGCCAGCAGCCGCGGUAAUACGUAUGGUGCAAGCGUUAUCCGGAUUUACUGGGUGUAAAGGGAGCGCAGGCGGCACGGCAAGCCUGAUGUGAAAGCCCGCGGCCCAACCGCGGGACUGCAUUGGGAACUACCGGGCUGGAGUGCCGGAGAG
Molecule: ribosomal RNA, 305 nt
Filed under: uncultured bacterium
Lineage: Bacteria
Description: bacterial SSU rRNA
Rfam family: Bacterial small subunit ribosomal RNA
Source: RNAcentral